AGAUUGAACGCUGGCGGCAGGCCUAACACAUGCAAGUCGAGCGGUAGAGAGGUGCUUGCAUCUCUUGAGAGCGGCGGACGGGUGAGUAAUGCCUAGGAAUCUGCCUAGUGGUGGGGGAUAACGUUCGGAAACGGACGCUAAUACCGCAUACGUCCUACGGGAGAAAGCGGGGGACCUUCGGGCCUCGCGCCAUUAGAUGAGCCUAGGUCGGAUUAGCUAGUUGGUGAGGUAAUGGCUCACCAAGGCGACGAUCCGUAACUGGUCUGAGAGGAUGAUCAGUCACACUGGAACUGAGACACGGUCCAGACUCCUACGGGAGGCAGCAGUGGGGAAUAUUGGACAAUGGGCGAAAGCCUGAUCCAGCCAUGCCGCGUGUGUGAAGAAGGUCUUCGGAUUGUAAAGCACUUUAAGCUGGAGGAAGGUUGUAACCGUAAUACGUUGCAACUUUGACGUUACCGACAGAAUAAGCACCGGCUAACUUCGCGCCAGCAGCCG
RNAcentral lists this ribosomal RNA (495 nucleotides) under uncultured soil bacterium. RNAcentral describes it as "bacterial SSU rRNA". It matches the Rfam family "Bacterial small subunit ribosomal RNA", at positions 26 to 517 of the family's 1533-position model. The record is from RNAcentral.